This 65-nucleotide transfer RNA is filed under the name Apharyngostrigea pipientis. RNAcentral describes it as "tRNA-Leu". The record is from RNAcentral. Lineage: Eukaryota; Metazoa; Platyhelminthes; Trematoda; Diplostomida; Strigeidae.
AUAUGGGUGCCAGAAGUAAAAUAUGGGUUAGUUUUAAGCGCUAAAGAUGAGUUUCUCCCCGUAUA